This 470-nucleotide ribosomal RNA is filed under the name uncultured bacterium. RNAcentral describes it as "bacterial SSU rRNA". It matches the Rfam family "Bacterial small subunit ribosomal RNA", at positions 917 to 1382 of the family's 1533-position model. The record is from RNAcentral.
GGGCUCACACAAGCGGUGGAGGAUGUGGCUCAAUUCGAGGCUACGCGAAGAACCUUAUCCUGGUCUUGACAUGCUUGGGAAUCCCGCCGAAAGGUGGGAGUGCUUUUCGGAGAGCCCUUGCACAGGUGCUGCAUGGCUGUCGUCAGCUCGUGUCGUGAGAUGUCGGGUUAAGUCCCUUAACGAGCGAAACCCUUGUCCCUAGUUGCCAGCGAGUCAUGUCGGGGACUCUAGGGAGACUGCCGGUGUUAAACCGGAGGAAGGCGGGGAUGACGUCAAGUCCUCAUGGCCUUUAUGAUCAGGGCUGCACACGUCCUACAAUGCGAUGUACAAAGGGACGCAAGCUCGUGAGAGCAAGCAAAUCCCAAAAAACAUCGCUCAGUUCGGAUUGCAGGCUGCAACUCGCCUGCAUGAAGCUGGAAUCGCUAGUAAUCGCGGGUCAGCAUACCGCGGUGAAUGUGUUCCUGAGCCUU